Long non-coding RNA from Cavia porcellus (domestic guinea pig), 2382 nucleotides. RefSeq lists it as uncharacterized. The record is from RefSeq and is a predicted model, not a curated record. The transcript has 3 exons. NCBI's taxonomy places the organism in Eukaryota, Metazoa, Chordata, Mammalia, Rodentia, Caviidae.
ACCACACAGGCAUUGGCUGAUCCCCAUGGAGCAUGAAGUCCCAGAGCCACAGUGACCCCCUUACUCCAGGUCACACUGCCUCUACUUCCCUGUCUGUGCCAGACGUUUGGUUUUAUUUGGGAAGUAGCUUGCUGCCCUCCACCUGGAUUUGACAGAUUAAACAAAUGGAAACACAGGACACUCAAUGACGUGAGUGUCACAAAAUUAGUGAUCCUUUUUCAGGACAGAUCAUGCAGUAUUUGCGAUAUGCUUCUACAAAGAAAUUGCUUGUUUAUCUGAAACCCAAACUUCAUUGGCGUGGGCAUUCUACAUUUUGUCUGGUAGCCCUACCUCCGCUCCCAGCAAGGCCCUUCCAUACUCCACACAUCCUGGUGAUCUCAGCACCAGGACAGAGCCCUGGUCCACCAUCUGAGGCCCAACUGGCCUCCCACCCAGCUCUGACAGCCACCUUCAAGGACUUAAUGGUCCCCAAAGAUGACCUCUUCUCACCCUAGGCUCUGCCUUCAUCACCUUGCCUUGUACGCCGUGUAAAUUCCUGUUCAUCCGUCUUGUCACAAUGCCACUUCCUCCCAGAAGUCUUGCUUGACCACUACACGUGAACAGGCACUGGUUCACUUUUUCAUCCCUUUGGGCUCCCUGAACACAGUGAUUACAAUGUUAUCACAACUGGUGUGUGUUUAAUAUGCUUCUAAGGCAAAAGAACAGAGAGAAGAAAGGUUCAUAGGUAAAUAAGAAGUGGUCCAGUGGCACACGGCUGAGUGGAUGUGAGGUAAAGGCAGAAUCUGCUCUCUGGGAUUCAGUCUCCAAGGACCCCUCAUUGUACACCUACCUAAAUAUAUUUGGACUUUAAAAGUAAGUGGACUUGUUUUGUUUUAACUACCAGGAUAAUGGUCAAAUGGAAUUUGUCAAUUAGACUUGCUCAAAUUCAGAUCCGAGCUCUGCUGUAUACUAGCUGUAUAACUUUGAACCAGUUGCUACUCCACUGUGCCUCAGGCUUCUCACCUGUAAGAUGGGCAUAAGAAAAGGACCACCUUGGGAAGGCUGCUGAGAGAAGAUAGAAAGUCAAAACUUUGAAAGUAAUUAUGGCAAUGCCUAAAACAUGCUGCCAAGGAGCUAUGGGGAAGGAAGGAAGGAGGGAAGGAAAGAAGGAAGUAGGGAAAGGCGGCCUCCAGAGUCUGCUCUGACACAACAGGAAAGGCUGGCAGUGCCAGGAGCCAGUACUUCAGUCUGCAGCCCAAGGCUCCCAGGGUUUGUCAGAGGUGUCCUUCGUUAUGAGUGAUUUUGGCUUUCCAGGCUGGUGGCUGUGAAUACGUCCUCAGAGGACUGUAACUGUCCUAGUCCCGGGUUUUAAUCUCAUCCUGCCUUUUCUCGUGUGUGACCUUGACCAAGGCAGUGAAGCCGUGCUCAUUUCGGCUACUGAAUGGAGAUGUGACGCCCACCGGCAGGGCCCAAGCAGAGAGCACAGCGCUGAUUCACAGUCGCAGAGACUCUGGAUCUUGUGGCGCUGUUACUUCUACCCUUCAGCAGCUCUUCCUGGAAACAAAGGGCAACCUGAAGAAACCCUCUAAGGUAACCCACUCCCCGCCUCAUCCAAACUCCAACCCCCGGCCUCACUCAGUAGCUGUCCCGGUCCUUGUCACUGGGGAGACAGAUUCAAAGCUUGGCCCUCCAUCUCUUCAUACUUGGCAGCAUCAUGAACAAACUCUUUUUGUAAAAUCCAUCCAUUUGAGUGAGUGGCAGGCAGCACCUUGUUCAGUGACAUUAUUACAGAGUGCUUUAUUCUCAGUGCACAUGCAGGCUGGGGGCCGCUGAGGACUGAGCUCCAAGUCAGCCCGAUCACCAUGACCAAGUCUGUCCCAGAGCCAAAGAAAGGGCCAAGCAAACAGGAAAGCAGAGGGAAGCCAGGAGACAGCACCAGCCCUCUCCCGCUCCUUCCUGCCUGACAAGGAUCUGAUCAGAGAAGAGGAUCACAAGCCCUGUGCGCUCUCCUGUUUCCGGAAUCUCAACUUAGGCUUCCGAGUCUAACCUGUAAUCCAAGUACAGCACGAAGCCAAUGUGGAUGAGUUAAUGUUCCUACGGAAAUUCGACUAAGGUCAGAAAAAGUUCUUUCCCUCAUAGAACUUGCAUUCUUGACAGUUUAAAUCUUCUGGUCGCUCAUUUCUCAAAGCAUCAUCAGCAGAGCUGGUUAGAAAUGCAGAAUGUGAGCUACUUGGACCACCUGACUCACAAUCUGCAUUGCCACAAGACCCCUGGGAAUCCGCAUGACUUGACAAGGAUUACUUGAGUUUCUAAAGGAUUUAGAAGAGCCGUUUCUGUGUGCACUUCCCCAUGAUGUACCCAUCUUUUCAUUGAGUAUUAAAACAGUUCCUUCUUCCUUUCCCA